CAAAACAAGUCUGGAACUGGUCGCCAUUUUGUGAGGGUCAUUCAUUCGCGGUUCAAUCAGUUAUGGGGUGAUUCUUGAAUGAUGUCUGUGUCUGUGCAACCAGAGUCGGUUUAUUGUGUGUAUUUAAAUUGUGAUGAAAGUCAGCAUUUGAUCGUCGUUAUUCGCGGACGCACAAAACAACUUUGAACACACACAUCACAAGAAACGUGUCGUCCUAACAUUAAAACUGGUUGUGGACGCCAUGCUUUCCUGAGAGGGUCCUUCGCGGCAGUUUGGUCGGUUAACGAUCUGAUCUCAUCAUCAUCCAGUCUGUCUGGAAUGACAUGAAGAAACAGAACGAGACAGAAUAAAUCCAGAAGAUCUGUGGCAACGUCUUUAAGAUGCUUCAAGAGACCUACCUGCGGAGCUACAGUUUAUCACCUAAGCCUCCUUGGAGGCAAAACACCUGGAGAUGCCAUCCGGAUGGUGUUGCGAACAGUUGGAACAAACAGUGUUUGGUGUCAAUACAGCAUUAAAGGAAGGAAUGGGGGAAGAGCUGGACAUUGCGGCAUGAUCAUUCAGGCUUGCCAAAAGAUGCAUCCAAAAGUGCCAGUUAAGGUGUUAGAAGAGUUCAUCUUGAAGUAUGCUCCCCAUCGUGAGUCAAGGAUGGAGUGUGAAGAGACAGGCCAUGGACCACAGUUCCCGCAGUGAUAGUUUUUCAGCACCCACACACAAUUCAGAAGUUCUCACUGAUUAAAUGUUAAUAUGAUAGUUUACGUUUACCUGUGAAGUUGUCCUU
Molecule: long non-coding RNA, 778 nt
Organism: Labeo rohita (rohu)
Lineage: Eukaryota; Metazoa; Chordata; Actinopteri; Cypriniformes; Cyprinidae
Exons: 6
Source: RefSeq, a predicted model, not a curated record